Molecule: ribosomal RNA, 449 nt
Filed under: uncultured bacterium
Lineage: Bacteria
Description: partial 16S ribosomal RNA
Rfam family: Bacterial small subunit ribosomal RNA
Source: RNAcentral
CCUACGGGGGGCUGCAGUGGGGAAUUUUGGACAAUGGGGGCAACCCUGAUCCAGCCAUGCCGCGUGAGUGAAGAAGGCCUUCGGGUUGUAAAGCUCUUUCGGCCGGGACGAAAUCGCUUCGGCUAAUACCUGGAGUGGAUGACGGUACCGGAAGAAGAAGCACCGGCUAACUACGUGCCAGCAGCCGCGGUAAUACGUAGGGUGCGAGCGUUAAUCGGACGUGCUGGGCGUAAAGCGUGCGCCGGCUGUUAAAUCCCCGGGCGUAACCUGGGAACUGCGUUUGUGACUGCGAGACUUGAGUGCGGCAGAGGGGGGUGGAAGUCCACGUGUAGCAGUGAAAUGCGUAGAGAUGUGGAGGAACACCGAUGGCGAAGGCAGCCCCCUGGGUCGACACUGACGCUCAUGCACGAAAGCGUGGGGAGCAAACAGGAUUAGAUACCCCAGUAGUC